UAAUAUAUUCUGACUUGCUCUCAGGUAGGGGAAUGUAGCUUUGCUAAGAUUAAGUGGGGUAACAGAUAACUUUAGGAGGGGGAAAAUAUUCCCUAAAAGACCUUGGUGUCUCAUGUGUGACAUGUGAUAAUCGUGUGUAAUUGAAUCACAAAUACCUACGUGUUCGAAGGAGUAUUGCAUACUCUCUCGCUGGGCUUUGGAGAGAUCUCUAGUGAAUACAGCUGAGGAUGGAAAAUGGAAAGGACAGAGGGGGUUAAAAUGUGGCUGCCCAUCCAAAAGUAACUGGGUGUAUUUUCUCUCCUGAGCUCAGGCUGUUUAUCUAGUGAUGUAGCAAACAGCAUUUCAGUUGUUUGAAAAGAGCUUUUCACUGGAAGUAACUGGGAUUUUUUCCCCCCACCCUUUUCUCUCGUGCAGUAGGAAGGUGACACACAGUAGAAAGCGGUCUCUUCUUCCAGGAGACCUCAAAACACUUGGAAUGAUGACACCUCCUAUAGAACUUGUGCUGCACUUGAAGAUAUCCUUGGAAUGAGAAACGCAUCCAAGAUUCAACAACCGCAUUGAACUUGAAACUUGGACUUGAAGAGCACCAAUGUUUAAGCUCCUUGUUUGCGUCAGGCUUCUCUUGCUUCAGUUCUGAAAACAUCGUACACCAGCUGCAAGCUUAAGAUGCAGCUGGAUGUAAGUGAUGUGCCCCGUAACGUGUUCAAAUCCGCUUGUACUGUAAUGCUCCUGUUUAAAAGAAACUGCUAUUUUUUUUGUUUCAAAUUUUUUGAUGGUUUGUUUAUCUGGGAAUUGCCCAGUCUAUUUAUAUUGAAGUUUCUGUUCUGAGAAUCAGAAGGGCUGGGUUUUGUUUUGUCCUGUUUUUCUUUUCUUGGUGUAGUAUGCAAGUUUUUCAUCUUGUGUUUGUGUUAAGAUAUUGCAUGAGAAUGUUGUUACUGGACUAGUUCUGGAGAUUGAACUGCCUGUGGGAAAUAACACGUGCUGUAAUGCUGCUGUUAUACUAUGUUUGUAAUAUAUGCUUUAGACGUUGUAAUUAUUCUUUUACAUCGUGCCUCCCCUAAGUAAGGCCAGUGAAAUACUGUAAUUCAGAACUGCUAGGAUAUCUUAAGCAGUCUAAAGGUUCUGGAUGAGUGGACCGGCUCCUGGAAGUAGGUUUCGUGGGAGACCUAUCAGACAACCAUGUGGAGAAAGCUGCUGACAGCUGCUAAUUUUUGGGAAAUAGGCUGUAUAAUAUAUGUGACAGGGUUUAAAGAGCCCAAGGAUAGCAUUUUGAUAAUGAUAGGGAGGGAAACUUCCUACCUCCAACUCCUCAGUAUUCCUAUGGGAAGUGUUCUUGCUUUUUGAUGUGUUUUGUCAUAGUUCUGACUGUAAUUCUUCUCUCAGAAAGAGAGGUGGAGUGGUUGGAUUUGUUUGUAGCAUGCUUGCUAUUAUGUAAAACAAAUUUUUUUUUAACUUAACUUUGAAGCAAUUCUCAUGAAGUUACCAUCUAUUAAGCAUUGUUAUUAAUCAUAAUGAAUUGUUAGUUUGUAAUGCUUUGAAAACUAAGUAAAAUCACCUCUGGGACAUCGCUAGUAUUGCUUCUACGCAUACGUGAUGGUGCUGCACUGAUAGAACCUAUCUGACUAAAGUGAAAUAAUGCUUUCUUUGUAGUGUUCAGAGUGCAGGCCUUAAUGCAUUAUUUCUAAACCUAGUCCUAAAGUUAGGAAAAAGCAUGCAUUGGUUUGUUUGGUUAUCUUAUUGAGCAACAGAUGAGUUUCAGUAUUGCAAAGUGAGAGAGACUAUCCUGAAUGUUUUACGGCACUGAUUGAGGAAUCUGUGGAAGACACAGAAGUGGAUUGCUGCUUGCGGCGUUACUAGAGUGUAGCGCUGAUCUGUAAGGGGAACUCGGUUACUAAACUCUUGGUGAGAAUGCCAAUGGCUGUGGUAACGGAAGCAUAGUGUACGAGUAUCAAAAUGAUCAAAACCCUUUCAGUUUUAAUAAUAUAUUAAAUUUUACUAGCAGAAACUGUUUUGGAAA
Non-coding RNA from Meleagris gallopavo (turkey), 2017 nucleotides. The record is from RefSeq and is a predicted model, not a curated record. NCBI's taxonomy places the organism in Eukaryota, Metazoa, Chordata, Aves, Galliformes, Phasianidae.